This 518-nucleotide ribosomal RNA is filed under the name uncultured eukaryote. RNAcentral describes it as "SSU rRNA". It matches the Rfam family "Eukaryotic small subunit ribosomal RNA", at positions 37 to 549 of the family's 1831-position model. The record is from RNAcentral.
UCAAAGAUUAAGCCAUGCAUGUCUAAGUAUAAGAAGGCGUUCGUUCCCUCGAGACUGCGAAUGGCUCAUUAAAUCAGUUAUUGUUUAUUUGAUGGUGCCCCUUACUUGGAUAACCGUAGUAAUUCUAGAGGUAAUACGUGCCCACUGUCCCGACCUCACGGAAGGGAUGCAUUUAUUAGAGCAAAGACCAAUGCCGGGCUUGCCCGGCUCUACCGGUGACACAUAGUAAAUACGCGGAUCGCACGGCCUUGUGCUGGCGACGCUUCAUUCAAAUUUUUGCCCUAUCAACUUUUGAUGGUAGGAUAGAGGCCUACCAUGGUGGUAACGGGUGACGGAGAAUUAGGGUUUGAUUCCGGAGAGGGAGCCUGAGAAACGGGUACCACAUCCAAGGAAGGCAGCAGGCGCGCAAAUUACCCAAUCCUGACAGAGGGAGGUAGUGACAAUAAAUAACAAUACCGGGCUCUUUGAGUUUGGUAAUUGGAAUGAAUAGAAUUUAAAUCCCUUAACGAGGAUCAAUU